Molecule: long non-coding RNA, 563 nt
Filed under: Fragaria vesca (wild strawberry)
Lineage: Eukaryota; Viridiplantae; Streptophyta; Magnoliopsida; Rosales; Rosaceae
Description: long non-coding RNA (FVES_LNC002299)
Source: RNAcentral
UACUUUUGUGGAUUUUCUCUGGAAGUUUGUGUUGAGUUGGCAUGGAAUCAUUAUGUCGUACUUGGGAAUGAUCAAAUUUUGGCUUUCAUCUGUUGUAGCUGGCAUUUACGCCAUUUCCCCCCAGCUUAUGAUCAGUGGGCUGGAUAUUGUAAUUUGGUUGAAUAGAACCUAUUUUUGAUGAACACCAAUUGAUUUAGUUGUCAUGCAAUCUUGAUUUGGUUGAGUAGAACCUAUUUUUGAUGAACACCAAUUGAUUUAGUUGGCAUGCAAUCUUGACCACAGACGAAGCAGUGCACCAUAAACAUUUAUAGUGUUAAGCAAAAAUGACAUGUAAGGCAAUACUGUUCUUUUGGGCUAAAGGAUUAGUGUCAAAUUCAUUCUGUCUCCCUAAAAUCUGUGAUUUGGCUAAAGAUACCUGAACCUUUAUUUACUGUAAAAUUCUGUAAAAUAUGGGUGGUUGAUGUAAUUUUCAUGUAGCACGGGGCAGCUGUGUUGUAUUGAAUUUCAGCAGGACUUAGUAACUCCUAUUGAUUUGAAAUUUUGUGACGUUGUACUUCCAGGUG